UCUCAGUUCAGAUUGCAGGCUGCAACCCGCCUGCAUGAAGUCGGAAUUGCUAGUAAUCGCGGAUCAGCAUGCCGCGGUGAGUACGUUCCCGGGCCUUGUACACACCGCCCGUCACACCAUGGGAGCCGGUAAUACCCGAAGUCAGUAGUCCAACCUCGUGAGGACGCUGCCGAAGGUAGGAUUGGCGACUGGGGUGAAGUCGUAACAAGGUAAC
Molecule: ribosomal RNA, 214 nt
Filed under: uncultured bacterium
Lineage: Bacteria
Description: partial 16S ribosomal RNA
Rfam family: Bacterial small subunit ribosomal RNA
Source: RNAcentral